RNAcentral lists this ribosomal RNA (405 nucleotides) under uncultured bacterium. RNAcentral describes it as "bacterial SSU rRNA". It matches the Rfam family "Bacterial small subunit ribosomal RNA", at positions 355 to 776 of the family's 1533-position model. The record is from RNAcentral.
UGGGGAAUAUUGGGCAAUGGACGAAAGUCUGACCCAGCAAUACCGCGUGAGUGAUGAAGGCGUUAUGCGUUGUAAAGCUCUUUUAACAGGGAAGAUAAUGACGUUACCUGUAGAAUAAGCACCGACUAACUAUGUGCCAGCAGUCGCGGUAAUACAUAGGGUGCUAGCGUUACUCGGAAUUAUUGGGCGUAAAGGAUGCGUAGGAGGACUUAAAAGUCAAAAGUGUAAUCCCCAAGCUUAACUUGGGAACUGCUUUUGAUACUUUAAGUCUAGAGUGAGAUAGAGGAUAGCGGAAUUUCUAGUGUAGGGGUAAAAUCCGUAGAUAUUAGAAGGAACACCAAAAGCGAAGGCAGCUAUCUGGGUCCUUACUGACUCUGAGGCAUGAAAGCGUGGGGAGCAAGCAGG